Molecule: ribosomal RNA, 216 nt
Filed under: Glomeromycotina sp.
Lineage: Eukaryota; Fungi; Glomeromycota
Description: partial small subunit ribosomal RNA
Rfam family: Eukaryotic small subunit ribosomal RNA (bases 92-216)
Source: RNAcentral
GGGUCAGUAGGUUGGUCGUGCCACCGGUACGUACUGGUCUCACUGAUUCCUCCUUCCUGAAGAACCGUAAUGCCAUGAAUUUGGUGCUGCGGGGAAACAGGACUGUUACUUUGAAAAAAUUAGAGUGAUUAAAGCAAGCUAACGCUUGAAUACAUUAGCAUGGAAUAAUGAAAUAGGACGAUCGAUCCUAUUUUGUUGGUUUCUAGGAUUGACGUA